UUCACACCGACUAGGAUGGCAAUAGUCAAAACGACAGACAAUACCAAGAGUUGGCAAAGAUGUGGAAAAAUUGGAACCCUCCUAUUUUGCUGGUGGAAACC
This 101-nucleotide microRNA precursor is filed under the name Chlorocebus sabaeus (green monkey). RNAcentral describes it as "miRNA (ENSCSAG00000025734.1)". Lineage: Eukaryota; Metazoa; Chordata; Mammalia; Primates; Cercopithecidae. The record is from RNAcentral.